GAGCACCAGCUCAACCUCAGGGCCAUGUUAUUCCUCAAGGCCAGGAAGUAUAUGGCCAGUACAGAUGCUCUGACAUGAGAAUUACAGCAGGAGCAGGUGGACCACAGAGCCCAUACAGACACGACCUGAUGAUGAAGAAACGAAGACUGGACAUGUAAUGAAUUUAAUUAUUGUUUUCUUUUAGAAAAUCUUUUAUCUAGAUUUGAUUUAUAUUCAUUUGUUAAUAUGAGAAGCUAAUAAAAGUUUGUGUUUGUCUUAGACGUUUUUGAUUUAACCUCCUAAUUUGUAAUAUAAAUCAAAACAUAAGCAGGACUGUUUUUUAAAUUUUAUUUCUCAUUUUUGGAGAAUAAAAGUCUGUGGAA
Cyprinus carpio (common carp) is the source of this 362-nucleotide long non-coding RNA. RefSeq lists it as uncharacterized. The transcript is spliced from 2 exons. The record is from RefSeq and is a predicted model, not a curated record. Lineage: Eukaryota; Metazoa; Chordata; Actinopteri; Cypriniformes; Cyprinidae.